This 406-nucleotide ribosomal RNA is filed under the name uncultured bacterium. RNAcentral's name for it is "partial 16S ribosomal RNA". It matches the Rfam family "Bacterial small subunit ribosomal RNA", at positions 28 to 527 of the family's 1533-position model. The record is from RNAcentral.
GAUGAACGCUAGCUACAGGCUUAACACAUGCAAGUCGAGGGACCGGCGCACGGGUGAGUAACACGUAUCCAACCUGCCCUUUACUCGGGGAUAGCCUUUCGAAAGAAAGAUUCAUAACCGAUAUAAAGGAUGGGGAUGAGUUACAUUAUGUUGUUGGUGAGGUAACGGCUCACCAAGCCUUCGAUGGAUAGGGGUUCUGAGAGGAAUGUCCCCCACAUUGGAACUUAGACACGUUCCAAACUCCUACGGGAGGCAGCAGUGAGGAAUAGUGGUCAAUGGUCGCUAGCCUGAACCAGCCAAGUAGCGUGAAGGAUGAAGGCUUAUGGGUCGUAAACUUCUUUUAUAUAAGAAUAUGUAUUAUAUGAAUAAGGAUCGGCUAACUCCGUGCCAGCAGCCGCGGUAAUUG